Molecule: ribosomal RNA, 492 nt
Filed under: uncultured bacterium
Lineage: Bacteria
Description: partial 16S ribosomal RNA
Rfam family: Bacterial small subunit ribosomal RNA
Source: RNAcentral
AUUGAACGCUGGCGGCAUGCCUUACACAUGCAAGUCGAACGGUAACACGUUAAGCUGUUGCGUUUCGAGCGGGCGAGUAAUGUAUCGGAAAGUGACCCAUCGUGAUCUAUAUUUUCUCGAAAGAUCAGGUAAUACCACUUACGACCUGAGCGCAUACGCGGUGGCUUGGAAAGCCUCGGACCUUCGGAGCUGCCGCUAUUUGAUUAGCUGGUUUCUGAUUAGCUAGUUGGCGGGGUAAAGGCCCACCAAGUGGACGAUCCGUAGCUGGUCUGAGAGGAUGAGCAGCCACACUGGAACUGAGACACGGUCCAGACUCCUACGGGAGGCAGCAGUGGGGAAUAUUGGACAAUGGGCGCAAGCCUGAUCCAGCCAUGCCGCGUGCGGGAAGAAGGCCUUCGGGUUGUAAAGCCCUUUUGUCGGGGAAGAAAAGGUGCAGGCUAAUACCUGGCAGUCAUGACGGUACCGGAAGAAUAAGCACCGGCUAACUACGUG